Molecule: ribosomal RNA, 639 nt
Filed under: Apiotrichum montevideense
Lineage: Eukaryota; Fungi; Basidiomycota; Tremellomycetes; Trichosporonales; Trichosporonaceae
Description: eukaryotic LSU rRNA
Rfam family: Eukaryotic large subunit ribosomal RNA
Source: RNAcentral
GCAUAUCAAUAAGCGGAGGAAAAGAAACUAACAAGGAUUCCCCUAGUAACGGCGAGUGAACCGGGAAAAGCUCAAAUUUGAAAUCUGGCUGUCUUCGAUAGUCCGAGUUGUAAUCUAUAGAAGCGUUUUCCGUGCUGAACUGUGUCUAAGUCCCUUGGAACAGGGUAUCAAAGAGGGUGAUAAUCCCGUACUUGACACAACCAUCAGUGCUCUGUGAUACGUUCUCUACGAGUCGAGUUGUUUGGGAAUGCAGCUCAAAAUGGGUGGUAAAUUCCAUCUAAAGCUAAAUAUUGGCGAGAGACCGAUAGCGAACAAGUACCGUGAGGGAAAGAUGAAAAGCACUUUGGAAAGAGAGUUAAACAGUACGUGAAAUUGUUGAAAGGGAAACGAUUGAAGUCAGUCGUGUUCAUUGGAUUCAGCUAGUUCUUCUAGUCUACUUCCUUUGAACGGGUCAACAUCAGUUUUGUCCGGUGGAUAAAGGAUUUAGGAAUGUGACUCCCUCGGGAGUGUUAUAGCCUAGGUUCACAUACACUGGGUGAGACUGAGGACUGCAGCUCGCCUUUUGGCCGGGGUUCGCCCACGUUCGAGCUUAGGAUGUUGACAUAAUGGCUUUAAACGACCCGUCUUGAAACACGGACC